This 437-nucleotide ribosomal RNA is filed under the name Acanthamoeba sp. RNAcentral's name for it is "SSU rRNA". The stretch from base 1 to 383 matches the Rfam family "Eukaryotic small subunit ribosomal RNA", at positions 754 to 1115 of the family's 1831-position model. The record is from RNAcentral. Lineage: Eukaryota; Discosea; Longamoebia; Acanthamoebidae.
ACCGUGAAAAAAUUAGAGUGUUCAAAGCAGGCAGAUCCAAUUUUCUGCCACCGAAUACAUUAGCAUGGGAUAAUGGAAUAGGACCCUGUCCUCCUAUUUUCAGUUGGUUUUGGCAGCGCGAGGACUAGGGUAAUGAUUAAUAGGGAUAGUUGGGGGCAUUAAUAUUUAAUUGUCAGAGGUGAAAUUCUUGGAUUUAUGAAAGAUUAACUUCUGCGAAAGCAUCUGCCAAGGAUGUUUUCAUUAAUCAAGAACGAAAGUUAGGGGAUCGAAGACGAUCAGAUACCGUCGUAGUCUUAACCAUAAACGAUGCCGACCAGCGAUUAGGAGACGUUGAAUACAAAACACCACCAUCGGCGCGGUCGUCCUUGGCGUGUCUCGGCUUCACGGCCGGGGCGCGCGAGGGCGGUUUAGCCCGGUGGCACCGGUGAAUGACUCCC